CUCAUAGUGGGGGACAACGUGGGGAAACUCACGCUAAUACCGCAUACGCCCUACGGGGGAAAGCGGGGGAUCUUCGGACCUCGCGCUAUGAGAUGAGCCUGCGUUAGAUUAGCUGGUUGGUGGGGUAAAGGCCUACCAAGGCGACGAUCUAUAGCUGGUCUGAGAGGACGAUCAGCCACACUGGGACUGAGACACGGCCCAGACUCCUACGGGAGGCAGCAGUGGGGAAUAUUGGACAAUGGGCGCAAGCCUGAUCCAGCAAUACCGCGUGUGUGAAGAAGGCCUUAGGGUUGUAAAGCACUUUCAAUGGGGAGGAAAACCUGCCGGCCAAUACCCGGCAGCUUGACAUUACCUAUAGAAGAAGCACCGGCUAACUCCGUGCCAGCAGCCGCGGUAAUACGGAGGGUGCGAGCGUUAAUCGGAAUUACUGGGCGUAAAGCGUGCGUAGGCGGUUCGUUAAGUCAGAUGUGAAAGCCCCGGGCUUAACCUGGGAACGGCAUUUGAAACUGGCGGACUAGAGUUUGGUAGAGGGGAGUGGAAUUUCAGGUGUAGCGGUGAAAUGCGUAGAUAUCUGAAGGAACACCAGUGGCGAAGGCGACUCCCUGGACCCGAACUGACGCUGAGGUACGAAAGCGUGGGUAGCAAACAGGAUUAGAUACCCUGGUAGUCC
This 670-nucleotide ribosomal RNA is filed under the name uncultured bacterium. RNAcentral's name for it is "bacterial SSU rRNA". It matches the Rfam family "Bacterial small subunit ribosomal RNA", at positions 130 to 796 of the family's 1533-position model. The record is from RNAcentral.